Molecule: ribosomal RNA, 468 nt
Filed under: uncultured bacterium
Lineage: Bacteria
Description: partial 16S ribosomal RNA
Rfam family: Bacterial small subunit ribosomal RNA
Source: RNAcentral
GACGAACGCUGGCGGCGUGCUUAACACAUGCAAGUCGAACGGAAAGGCCCUGCUUUUGUGGGGUGCUCGAGUGGCGAACGGGUGAGUAACACGUGAGUAACCUGCCCUUGACUUUGGGAUAACUUCAGGAAACUGGGGCUAAUACCGGAUAGGAGCUCCUGCUGCAUGGUGGGGGUUGGAAAGUUUCGGCGGUUGGGGAUGGACUCGCGGCUUAUCAGCUUGUCGGUGGGGUAGUGGCUUACCAAGGCUUUGACGGGUAGCCGGCCUGAGAGGGUGACCGGCCACAUUGGGACUGAGAUACGGCCCAGACUGCUACGGGAGGCAGCAGUGGGGAAUAUUGCACAAUGGGCGGAAGCCUGAUGCAGCAACGCCGCGUGCGGGAUGACGGCCUUCGGGUUGUAAACCGCUUUCGCCUGUGACGAAGCGUGAGUGACGGUAAUGGGUAAAGAAGCACCGGCUAACUACGUG